AAAAAAAAACAGUUGAAAUUUUAUAUUACAAUCAAAUAUAGUAUGUCAAAACUAUGUAAGCAUCCUCUACAAUGAAAGAAAAUUUGUCUUUUCGGACACAAUGCGAAAUGCUUAAUUUCUUACAGCAUAAAACUCUCAAUGUGUUCCCUGUGUGGAUAAAAAAAAACAACGCUACGAUCUCCAUUCUUCGCCUGCCUAUUCUCUAAUUUUACACCUGACAAUAAUUCUCAUUCACUACACCGAAAAGUGGACGACAUAUUUUUGUGUUGUAUAAAUGAGGAUGGUGCACAUUCUGUAUGUGCCUGUCCCAAGUCAGGAGCCUGUAAUUCGGUGGUUGUCGUUUUUUGCUGUAUAUCAAAUUUGUUUUUUCGUCUGAAUUGUUUUACAUUUGUCAUUUCGGGGCCUUUUAUAGCUGACUAUGUGAUAUGGGUUUUACUCAUUGAUGAAGGCCGUACGUUGACCUAUAGUUG
This 470-nucleotide long non-coding RNA is filed under the name Mytilus galloprovincialis (Mediterranean mussel). The record is from RNAcentral. Lineage: Eukaryota; Metazoa; Mollusca; Bivalvia; Mytilida; Mytilidae.